GUUAAAUAUUUAUAUGUUUUAAAGACUACUUUGCAAGGUUAGGUCUAAGAGUUCUGCAGUAAUUCCUAACAGGCACUUCAGCAGAUGCAUUGUCCAGCACUUAAGCUAGGCACAGGGGGAGUCUGUAAAAGAAAAAUAAGAGAAAGAUCUCAGCACUGAGAAAACUUAUCAUCAUUUUUUACUGGAAAGACAGUUCUAAGAAAACAACAGAAGGGAAGACUGUGUAUGAUUAAAUUCCAAAUGACUGCCAGGAAGACUUUCUGUUAAACUAUUUUUAACAAAUUUUUAUUAAGUACUCACUAUCACCCAGGCACUGUUUGCUGUGCUGAAGAUACAAAGAUGAAUGGGAUGUUGUCUCUGCCAUGAAGGAACUUACAAAUCAGUGAAGAAAGACAUUUGUUGAGAAAGGCUUUACAGAGUUGGGUAACAUUAGCCCUGAGUCUGGAAAGUCUUGAAAGUUUGAUAAGCCCUCUCAAAGUACAGAUCAGGAAGAAUGAAAUGAUUUACCCAGAGUAAACAGCUAAGCCAAACCAAUAUGCUGGGAUCUUCACUCCCAGUUCUGUGCUAUUUCUGGGCUGUGGGAUGAAAGGCACACAAAAAAAUUAUAUUCAGAGUUCCCGUCGUGGCUCAGCAGAAACGAAUCUGACUAGCAUCCAUGA
Sus scrofa (pig) is the source of this 659-nucleotide long non-coding RNA. RefSeq lists it as uncharacterized. The record is from RefSeq and is a predicted model, not a curated record. NCBI's taxonomy places the organism in Eukaryota, Metazoa, Chordata, Mammalia, Artiodactyla, Suidae.